RNAcentral lists this ribosomal RNA (1266 nucleotides) under Triticum aestivum (bread wheat). RNAcentral describes it as "partial small subunit ribosomal RNA". Lineage: Eukaryota; Viridiplantae; Streptophyta; Magnoliopsida; Poales; Poaceae. The record is from RNAcentral.
GAUAAGAGGAGGAGAAGGAGGAAGAGGAGGAGGAGGAAGCGGGCCAGCUCUUUGUCCCCUGCUGUUCCUGCUCUUGCUCUGAAAAGAAAGAACCCACGCUCAAGCGUCUGCUGGACACGUCAAAAAAAGAAAAGAAAAAAGAAUCAUCUGCCGGAGGAGCGAGCGGGGAUCGGAGGGGGCCGGGAGCAGCUGGGAUCGGGAUCCUCUCUCUUCCUUGCAUUGAUGGCUUCCCUGGGCUUGCCCGGACCCUCCUCCUACCACGACCUCUGCUGCUACGGGGCAGGAAUCGCAGGGAACAUCUUUGCCUUUGUGCUCUUCAUCUCCCCGCUCCCAACAUUCAGGAGGAUCGUCCGGAAUGGGUCGACGGAGCAGUUCUCGGCCACGCCCUACAUCUACUCGCUCCUCAACUGCCUCGUCUGCAUGUGGUACGCCCUCCCCUUCGUCUCCUACGGCGUCGUCCUGGUCGCCACCGUCAACACCAUCGGCGCCGCCUUCCAGCUUGCCUACACCGCCGUCUUCAUCGCCUACGCCGACGCCAAGAAAAGGCUCAAGGUGUCCGUGCUGCUGGCAGGGGUGUUCUGUGUGUUCGGCCUGAUUGUGUAUGUCAGUAUGGCGCUGUUUGAUCACAAGCCUCGGCGAACAUUCGUCGGCUAUCUCAGCGUGGCGUCCCUCAUAUUCAUGUUCGCAUCCCCUCUGUCCAUCAUUAAUUUGGUGAUCAGGACCAAGAGUGUGGAGUACAUGCCCUUUUAUUUGUCGCUAUCGAUGUCCCUGAUGAGCAUGUCGUUUUUCGCAUACGGGGUGCUUCUGGAUGACUUCUUCAUAUACGUUCCCAAUGGCAUCGGCACAGUCCUAGGUGUCAUACAGUUGUUGUUAUAUGCCUACUACAGUAGAAAGGGAUCGAGAGACGAAGCCAGACGGCCAUUACUAGUCACACAUACAUGAGCAUGCAAGACAAGAAGAUGGAUGAUUCCUAGGGCAUGUACAGUACAGCCAUCGCUGUAAGCCUACAGCCUGCCUGCAGCUCAGGGUUGAGGUUCUCUGCAUUAUUUUGUUUAUGUAAAAAGCUGGAGUAGUGCUAGUUUAAGGUCCUCGAGUCAUUUGUUUAUAUUGUUUUACCGGUCAGCCAUUAUUUGUUUAUUUGAUGCUAUGUGCGGCUAGCAUUAAUGGAUUACUGAUGUGUGUAUACUUUGAUGGAUGUAUCAUGUAUGUGAUCUCUACAAGUGUAGAAUACCAAUGAUCCCUCUUCAAGAAUUCGUCCGAUUAAUC